UGGGGAAUUUUGCACAAUGGGGGAAACCCUGAUGCAGCGACGCCGCGUGAUUUAGAAGGCCUUCGGGUUGUAAAAAUCUUUUCUAUGGGAAGAAAAUGACAGUACCAUAGGAAUAAGGACCGGCUAAUUACGUGCCAGCAGCCGCGGUAAUGCGUAAGGUCCGAGCGUUGUCCGGAAUCAUUGGGCGUAAAGGGUACGUAGGCGGGUAAGCAAGUUAGAAGUGAAAUCCUGUAGCUCAACUACAGUAAGCUUUUAAAACUGCUCAUCUUGAGAUAUGGAAGGGAAAGUGGAAUUCCUAGUGUAGCGGUGAAAUGCGCAGAUAUUAGGAGGAAUACCGGUGGCGAAGGCGACUUUCUGGCCAUAAUCUGACGCUGAGGUACGAAAGCGUGGGUAGCAAACAGG
RNAcentral lists this ribosomal RNA (402 nucleotides) under Bacteroidota bacterium. RNAcentral's name for it is "Bacteroidetes bacterium partial 16S ribosomal RNA". It matches the Rfam family "Bacterial small subunit ribosomal RNA", at positions 355 to 776 of the family's 1533-position model. Lineage: Bacteria; Pseudomonadati; Bacteroidota. The record is from RNAcentral.